GUCAGUAUGUGGCAAUGGGUAAGAUGUUGGACUACUGAUCGGAAGGUAAUGAGUUCAAAUCCCAGCACUGACC
Non-coding RNA from Ameiurus melas (black bullhead), 73 nucleotides. Lineage: Eukaryota; Metazoa; Chordata; Actinopteri; Siluriformes; Ictaluridae. The record is from the annotation of a GenBank genome assembly.